This 375-nucleotide ribosomal RNA is filed under the name Triticum aestivum (bread wheat). Its description in RNAcentral is "partial small subunit ribosomal RNA". Lineage: Eukaryota; Viridiplantae; Streptophyta; Magnoliopsida; Poales; Poaceae. The record is from RNAcentral.
AUGUUCCUAGAGCACUCUUUCAUGCUUCUUAUCAAUGGUACUUUGCAAUACAUACGGCCCAUGUUGGCCGCAAUCUUGGUUUGUUUCCGUUUCCAAUGUUCUAUUCUUCCAAUUAAGGUGAGUCAUGUUGAGAUAGCAUAUUUUUCAUGCUUCCUAGGUGCUUCUCAUGUACUGAUGCUUCUUCACCCGUUCAUCGUAUUAUAUGUACGUACAAAUCGACUUCAAUCUCCUGGCAUGCUUCCUAGGUGUAGAUAUCACUUCUUAAUAGCAUCCAGGCUUCUUGAGAAGCAAAUUCUCUGGUCAAUGGAAACAAAAUUAUACAAUGUGGCGACCUUAACCGUCUUCCUCUCUAUGACGCCGAAAGAAUGGAAUUGA